Molecule: non-coding RNA, 111 nt
Organism: Gossypium hirsutum (cotton)
Lineage: Eukaryota; Viridiplantae; Streptophyta; Magnoliopsida; Malvales; Malvaceae
Source: Rfam
AUCCCAUGAUGAGGACACUUACGAAGUAACUCCUCGAAUCGCUCCUAAGCCUCAUACAAAGCCUCGUCGUCUAAUUGUUGGAAAGUUGCAAAAAAUCUCUUUGCUAAUUCU